RNAcentral lists this ribosomal RNA (330 nucleotides) under Triticum aestivum (bread wheat). RNAcentral describes it as "partial small subunit ribosomal RNA". Lineage: Eukaryota; Viridiplantae; Streptophyta; Magnoliopsida; Poales; Poaceae. The record is from RNAcentral.
AUGCGCCCAAUGAAAACUACUUUAACUCGACUCACGGCACUGCCGGGCCAUUUCAAAUCGCAGUCAUCUAUUCCGGACGCAACCAGCCCCAACAACGAUUUGCCGAGCAAGCAACACAACGACGGGAUUCAAGAAGACGCACGAGUAGUGGAGAACGAAAUGAAAAGAGGCUUAGAAGAAUCAGACGCCAAUGCAGGGAUAAGAGGCAAGGCGAGCCACCACCUACCCCCUCUAUCCACGUUGUCAUUGUGUCAUGUGAGCCCAUCACAAACGGCUAACCCACCAGGUGGGGUACGCUCUAUACCCAUGAUGAACGCCGCAUCGAGGUGA